ACAGUUAAGUUCUUAAAACUAAUAAGUAUGGCGGUCGACAAGCGAAUCAGAGGCUCAUGCCGAUAAUCGAAACUGCCCGAAGAUCUUACCUCGGUUAUUUUACACACCGCUGUCGGAAGGUUUUAAAUAAAUUUAUAACCUAUCACACUUACUCGUAAUAAGUCAAGUCAAGGCGUAGACUAUACCGAGGGUAAGGUGUGAGCCAUUAUUUAUUAAUUCAUGGUCGUGAAAACGCAACAUUGGAGGAGAAUUUGAUAGUAAAUUUUAUUAACCAUAUAGAGUUGAAUAGGUAAUUGUCGAUGUACA
Molecule: ribosomal RNA, 306 nt
Filed under: Haematopinus phacochoeri
Lineage: Eukaryota; Metazoa; Arthropoda; Insecta; Psocodea; Haematopinidae
Description: partial 12S ribosomal RNA
Source: RNAcentral